Molecule: ribosomal RNA, 253 nt
Filed under: uncultured bacterium
Lineage: Bacteria
Description: partial 16S ribosomal RNA
Rfam family: Bacterial small subunit ribosomal RNA
Source: RNAcentral
GACAGAGGGUGCUAGCGUUGUUCGGAAUUACUGGGCGUAAAGGGCGCGUAGGCGGCUUGUUUAGUCGGGUGUGAAAUCCCGGGGCUCAACCCCGGAACUGCAUUCGAUACUGGCAGGCUAGAGACCGGAAGAGGUGGGUGGAAUACCCAGUGUAGAGGUGAAAUUCGUAGAUAUUGGGUGGAACACCGGUGGCGAAGGCGGCUCACUGGUCCGGUUCUGACGCUGAGGCGCGAAGGCGUGGGGAGCGAACAGG